Molecule: non-coding RNA, 214 nt
Filed under: Hyphomicrobiales bacterium
Lineage: Bacteria; Pseudomonadati; Pseudomonadota; Alphaproteobacteria; Hyphomicrobiales
Source: RNAcentral
CACUUCACCCUUUUGUUAGGUGUCUCAAGUCCUUUCAAGACUCGAGAUGAAACGGGAAACCGGUGAGAUUAUUCAAUUCCGGUGCUGCCCCCGCAACGGUAAGCGAGGUGCACUGCUCAAUGCCACUGUGUUCAUGAACAUGGGAAGGCUGUAGUGCAAACGUGUCCACACGACGCUCGCAAGCCCGGAGACCGGCCUGACUACAUUGUGGCAA